CAGACCAUCUAGUCUACUAUAUAUAAGUGAGUAAGAUGGACGAACACUGCACAUAGAAGUGAUACAAAAUGCUAUUGUGAAUUGUACUCCACUCAGUCAGAAAGACACACCUCUCAAUCACACGUAUAUUCCACUCAGAAAGAUUCACCCACUUUUUUUACACAGUUAUGCUGCUUGCUCAUCUCUCUUGAACCUUCUUACCUAUUUUCAAUUUUCUUCGAAUUCCUUCUGCAUCUUUGUGGUCUUCACUAAAUUUCUCUCAAAGCUUUUCUAUUUUGUGUAUUUCUUCAAAGAUUCUCCCUUUUGGCUUAUUUUUUAUCGUUUCGGUUCGAAGUUCUGGCAAGUUUUUUGUCUAAUUAAUCAUUUGCUUUUAUUGCACUUAUUUGAUGGUAGAUUUUUGCUAGAUUUACAUAUGUCAAUAAUUUUAUCUAACCGGCACAUGCAUAUCUUUUAAUGUUUAUUCAUUUCUGAAAUUACGAUUCUCUUUCUCCUUCAGUGCUUUGAAGCAUCAAAUUUGUCGCUAGAAGAUUAAGUCUUGACAAUACGAGUAAGCACACUUCAGUAUCGGAUAGAGAAACUGGUUGUGGUGUGUUAUUCCUAAACGUGUUGUACAGUUAGCCACUUUAGCGCAACCAGGAGUGGAUCGGAGAUGGCGGAUGUUGCUCAACCCUGCAAUUACAAGACUUGGAUGUUUCUAAAUCAAUCAAUUACAAGACUCCAUUCUACAACCAAGAUACUCCUUCCCAUUAUACCAAUUGAUCUUACACAUCGAUGUGCUUGAAGAUAUGGAGAGUCUUCCAUGUUAACUUUUUUGGUACCAAACAAUCGGCCAUGGCCACAAUGUUGUAAUUCAAGGUCCAACUCGUUUGCAUGUCCUGUAGUGUAUGUUUGAUAUUUGGCAAUUCUUUUGUAGAACACAACUCGAUCGGAACUAAUUCUUAUGACCUAAUUGCGUAUGUGCAGAAGAUGCAUGUUCUGCACAUGUUAUACUGGAAGGUUCUUUUGUUUCCUGUUUUGAUUUCAAUUUGAAUGAUGUCUAUGUUGCACAUUA
Nicotiana tabacum (common tobacco) is the source of this 1051-nucleotide non-coding RNA. The record is from RefSeq and is a predicted model, not a curated record. NCBI's taxonomy places the organism in Eukaryota, Viridiplantae, Streptophyta, Magnoliopsida, Solanales, Solanaceae.